GACGAACCGUGCGAACGUUGUUCGGAAUCACUGGGCUUAAAGGGCGCGUAGGCGGGCGGUCAAGUCAGAGGUGAAAUCCCACGGCUCAACCGUGGAAGUGCCCCUGAUACUGACUGUCUCGAGGGAGGUAGGGGCGUGCGGAACUUCCGGUGGAGCGGUGAAAUGCGUAGAUAUCGGAAGGAACACCGAUGGCGAAAGCAGCGCGCUGGACCUCUACUGACGCUGAGGCGCGAAAGCCAGGGGAGCGAACGGG
This 253-nucleotide ribosomal RNA is filed under the name uncultured bacterium. RNAcentral's name for it is "partial 16S ribosomal RNA". It matches the Rfam family "Bacterial small subunit ribosomal RNA", at positions 524 to 776 of the family's 1533-position model. The record is from RNAcentral.